Molecule: ribosomal RNA, 301 nt
Filed under: uncultured bacterium
Lineage: Bacteria
Description: partial 16S ribosomal RNA
Rfam family: Bacterial small subunit ribosomal RNA
Source: RNAcentral
CAGUAGCCGCGGUAAUACGGAGGAUCCAAGCGUUAUCCGGAUUUAUUGGGCGUAAAGGGCGCGUAGGUGGUUACGUAAGUGAGAUGUGAAAUCCCCGGGCUCAACCUGGGAACUGCAUCUUAUACUGCGUAGCUGGAGUGCAGUAGAGGGUAGUGGAAUUUCCGGUGUAGCGGUGAAAUGCGUAGAUAUCGGAAGGAACACCAGUGGCGAAGGCGGCUACCUGGACUGACACUGACACUGAGGCGCGAAAGCGUGGGGAGCAAACAGGAUUAGAUACCCCUGUAGUCCCUGUCUCUUAUAC